RNAcentral lists this transfer RNA (71 nucleotides) under Nannobrachium ritteri (broadfin lampfish). RNAcentral describes it as "tRNA-Trp". It matches the Rfam family "tRNA". Rfam says of the family: Transfer RNA (tRNA) molecules are approximately 80 nucleotides in length. Their secondary structure includes four short double-helical elements and three loops (D, anti-codon, and T loops). The record is from RNAcentral. Lineage: Eukaryota; Metazoa; Chordata; Actinopteri; Myctophiformes; Myctophidae. RNAcentral also lists the same sequence under 3 other names.
AGGGGUUUAGGAUAACACCAGACCAAGAGCCUUCAAAGCCCCAAGUAGGAGUGAGAAUCUCCUAACCCCUG